AAGUUCAGAUCCAUAGCUUUUCCUGCCUCUUGAGCCAAUGCUGGCAACGACGACGACUAGAUCCGCAACUCAAGCAUAUGCCAUUGUUAUCUCUGCAAGCGGCGACGCUCUCCAUCCAAGCAGAGCAGCCAGCCAUCGGCGUCUGGAGCGAGCCAGGCUCGAUCAGUUGCGGUCGUGCUGCUACCUCAAGCAGCAGCUAGCUCUUCUCCAUGGAUGGAGCUAGCCCUUCUUCAGCUUCGGAUCAUGAGGUGUGUGAUGGAGGACAAGUUUGGAGGCAAGUGCUGAUGCAAUAGAGAAUAAGGAAAUCUGUUUUGGUUCGUACCGCAGCUACGAGGGGCCGAUGAUCUGCCGGAGGCAAUCCCUUCUCUUCGCCUCCGGCGCCCGCCAACUGAUCUGGAGGAGGGAGAUGAGGAACUCGACAGUCCUCCGCUGCAGCGGUGCCCACCAUCUCCUCCAUUCAUCCGAAAGUCUACCAAGCGAUGGAGGAAGAUGACUUGCAAACGAGUACUAUAGCUACUAGCUAGCUAGUCGCCUGCAACCUGCAUAUCUCUACUUCAUGUUCUUCCUCCGCGGAGAGCUUCUCUCCAAUGGGGAAGAGAUGCAUGGGAAGAGGGCUGGGGCAGCAGAGGACGAGAGGAGUUCUACUAUAUCACUUCAGAGGUCCUUCACCGCCAAGUAAUACCAUAUUAUUUGCUGGUCGUCGUCGUCGAAAGAAGCGGCUGGUGAGGCCCACUGCCCGGGCCUACGUGUAGGAGAUCGAAUCUUUGAAAACACCAGCCCCAUGCAAAAGUAGCAUGCAUGGAUAAGUAAUUAAAUACGUACCUCAAGUGCUCUGCCCUGCCGCGUCAUCAGUGCCUGAUUUGAUCUGAUUAUUAGGCUAGUAUCAGUGUCAGUGUCAUCGACACAGUUACCAAGACUGGGGACUAGAGAACUAUGCCAGUGGAGUGUCAUGGUGAUGACACUUCUAUCACAUUUCAUGACACUCCUCUCUCCUCAUACUAUUGGUAUAUAUUAGCAAAUUUAAUGUUUAUGACACUCAUAUGAUACUUCCACUGAAAUUGACCUAACUGCUAGCUGCACUCUGCAUGCACCCACAAAAAGGACAGAACAGAUUAAGUUUGCAAUUUUCGCGCCUAUUUGGG
Panicum virgatum (switchgrass) is the source of this 1142-nucleotide long non-coding RNA. RefSeq lists it as uncharacterized. The record is from RefSeq and is a predicted model, not a curated record. The transcript is spliced from 2 exons. NCBI's taxonomy places the organism in Eukaryota, Viridiplantae, Streptophyta, Magnoliopsida, Poales, Poaceae.